RNAcentral lists this transfer RNA (63 nucleotides) under Cheilomenes sexmaculata. Its description in RNAcentral is "tRNA-Ala". Lineage: Eukaryota; Metazoa; Arthropoda; Insecta; Coleoptera; Coccinellidae. The record is from RNAcentral.
GGGAUAAUAGUUAAGUUAACAUUUAAUUUGCAUUUAAAAAAUACUGAUAAUCAGUUUAUCUUA